This is a long non-coding RNA of Cydia fagiglandana, 6629 nucleotides long. RefSeq lists it as uncharacterized. NCBI's taxonomy places the organism in Eukaryota, Metazoa, Arthropoda, Insecta, Lepidoptera, Tortricidae. The transcript has 2 exons. The record is from RefSeq and is a predicted model, not a curated record.
UUUACAACAGUAAGUACUUACUUACGGCUCGUGCGCGGAGGGCUGGUGGCAUAACAACCGUAUGAUACGUUGAUAAACACAGUUCGGUCGAAUAUUCUAUAGCGUGUUACUGGGUUGAAUGAGUUUUCGAAUGUCACAUGUCAUAUAGUUGUUAUAUGUGGUGGAGCAAACUAGUUAAAAUACAAUUUGAACAAAUUUACCUAUACGUAUUAGCAUCCUAAUGUUUCGAGUUCCAAUCAUCGCUAAUGAGAUAAAAAUGUUAGGUAGGUACAUGCAAAGCAAUAUUUGUGGCCUUUUUAGUAGUUAUUUGUUAAUACAAAAGCGUGGGCCCGGGGAAUUUCACAUUUUAAUUUAAAUGUAAGUAUUUCUAAAAUAAAAAGUAUAAUAGGGGGCUAUUCAUAAAUUACGUCAUUUCAAAUUAGGGGGGGGGGGUCUGGACAUCGGAUGACGGUAGCAUGAAGUAGGAGGAAAUGGGGUCAUUUGAAGCAUGAUUUUUGGAUUAUUAUAAGGGGGGGGGGGGAGGGUCAAAAAUCCUCAAAAAUCGAUGACGUAAUUUAUGGACAGCCCCUAGGUAUUCGUUUUUCACAAUACUAAAAAGUUAAAAAAAGGAGUAAAGUAGGUAUAGCUUCGUUCUGUUUCUUCCUUUCUCUUGAGUUUCAACGUACGGCGUGUUUUUGUUUAUUGGGUGGGUCCACGGUUUCAAAAUAGUAUAGCCUUAGUAUGAAUGUAGUAUUCGUAACGAAUAGUGGCCUAAAUAAUGUAAUUUGUUUCAAUCCAUUUAAUUAUAAUUUAUAGAAAGCGCAUAACGCUUGCCCACGUUUAACUACAUACUACAUAGCGCUAAAUCUCUCUAUGUGCCUACAGAACUGGCGCUGUGGAUGUCCCUCGGCUAGGUAUAUUUAGGUACGAUGUAAGGGAAGAAUAUUCCAAGUCGCUUUGUAAUUUUUUACGGGUACUGUAACCUAUUCGGGUAAGCGAUGGACCAUUUGGACAGUUACUUAUACAAAAAAAUAAAAGUCUAGCGAGAGCUUCGUACUUUUACAGCAGAAGUUGCUAAGCGAGCGAGGUGUUCAAAAUGAUCUUGACGCGACUUUAUUGCUAACAGAAUAAGAGCGUGUCAAGGUAAUUUUGAACACCUCGCUCGCUUAGCAACUUCUGCUGCUGACUGUACGAAUUGUUUGAUACGACGUAAGCAACAACAAAGGGUAAGUACGUACGAACAAAUAGGUACGUCUCAUUGCUAAGAAGGAUAGUUUUUUGGCUACAACUGGCUGGUACAAGUACCUAUAGAUUUUUGUAUAACUAAUUACUUGUAGAUCUAACCCUAAAUUAUAUAAUUAUAGAAUCUCGGAAAAAAAUGCAGUAGAAUCUCAAGAAGAUAAUAAAUAAAAAAUAUACUAUACGUAUUAACAUAUUUAAUCAUUAAUAUUUUAUUACAUUAAUGUUUAAUAAUCGUUGCAAACCCGUACGGGCCGGAAUUAGCAAAAAAAAUGUGUAAUAAUCGUGAAAGUUUAAAUCAGAAUUAAUAUCAAUUAUUAAUUAUUAAUUCUGAGUUUUUAUUAUUAGUAUCAAUUAUUAUCUAAUAUUUUCCGUUGGAUUUGUUUUGUAGUUUUAGUACAGGAGCUAUUUGAUUUGUUUGCAAAGUUAUGUUGCACUUUGACUUGUCUUAAUAAAGCCUGUUAAAUCUAAUUUUAAUUGUUUAAUGUACUGAGUUACAAUAUUUUUUACAGUACAUGUGGUGCGAUAAUGAGCACAUUACGUACCUAACUAUUAUAUCGAUAAUUUAAAGGGUCAUAUGUAGGUACAAUGUAAAACGUUGUUAUAUACAUGUGUGAAUAGGUAAUUCGCAACACAACCGAAGGGAUUUAUCGCCACUCGUUGCAAAUUUCCUAUUUUUCGCACUUGUAGAAUGUUAAUGUACUAUUGUCGUAGGUUACGGACACCCGUAACCCGUAACAUAUUUUUGUACUCGUCGACUGUAAUUCAUGAAUUAAGAUUUCGUAUACCAAACUGCAAUUGGGUAUUUUUAAUGUAUGGGCUCCCAACUCACCGCGGCAGCCGGAGCCCGUACCAGUAUAAAGGUAUCGCGGAUGCUUGCGUAUCUUAGCUGUAUACUUUUUGUUUGGUUUGUUUGUAUGAUUCUACUAGUUUAAAGUAUUAUUUUUGUUGACUCGUAGAAAAAGUAUUUGAUAUAAUCAAGCUUUUCAAUCUCGUACCUCACUUAGGCAACUCAGCAAGCUUCGCUGCCUAAACACGGUACUCGACUGAAAAGCUCUCUAUUAUAUCACGAUUGUAUAAAAUACUACUAUUGCAGAUAGUAAAUUAAAUGUAAGUACCCAAUUCGUAUUUACAGUGUGACAACACGUUCGUAGCCAAAAUAAGCGUUUCACGUGUUUUUACUACAUGCGUAGGUAAACUGGAACAAAAUUUGUUACCUCUAUUUAAUAGAGGUAACUUUUACUAAGGAAGGAGUCUAUGUUAUAAUACUUAUACUAUACGUAUACGGAGUGUUGUGUGAGAGUUGGCACAAUGUUCGCAGUAUAUACUGUAUCGGCAAUUAAUUCACGAUAUGUACCACUUACAUACGUCCACACGGUGAGAUUUUGCACUAGAAUAAUUAUAGGUUAGAGUAAUUUUGUGCAAUAAACCUUAAAUUUAUAAAUGUUACUAUGUAGUCAAUAUAUUAUAAAAUCAUUUAACUAAGGUUAAAGGAGACAUUAUUAGGGCUGCCAGUACCAGGGGUGCGAAACUCCUGACUUCGGUUAAACUCGGCACCGCUCGGCUCAACAUUGCUCCGAGCAAUUAUUAGGGUUGGCACCACUUGACUUCCUUUUGCGUGCACGACCACAGAUAAGAUAAUCACUUGAUUUUUGACAACCCUAAAAUAGCCGAAAGGGAUAGUGCCAUAUAUUAGAAAGAGACAGCAUGAUUUGACCCUGAACCGCUGUCAAACUUCGGUUUUGUAGGAAGUUUCCUUUCUGUACGGUAGUACUAUUAUGUAAUUAUUAUGUGCCAGUACAUAAAUCUUGAUUAUACAAUCCAGUGUGCAGUGCUUGCAACUAUACGAAAUUCGAUUGCGUUAUACGAGUACAUAAUUUUAAAAAACUAUUAAUUUUAAAUCGAUAUUUCAUAAACCGGUUAUGAUACUCGUUAAAAUACUCAGAACAUAUAUAUUAUGUGGAUAGUUUAAAAAAAAGACCAAAACUUAGUCGAAUCUUGUAAUAUUAAACAAAACUCGUUUUAAAUUUAAUCACCCAUUCCAAGAUUCUAAAUAUGUACUUUGUGCAAUAUACGGUGGUGAAAUGUUGUAGAUCCGUUGCUCAUUGCGUUAUUAUUAGUUGUGGGGCGUCAUGCAUACCUAUUUGUUAAGCAAGCCGGUGCUAAGUUGGCCCGAUUUUUUCUUUAAAACUUAUAAUAAUAAGCUGCUCAAUGGUCUUAAAUUAGGAAUGCCGGGGUGGGUAUCUGUUUGUUUGGAUGCAACGCCAUUACUCCGUAUAAGUAAGCUAAAUUGAUCUACGGAACAAGAUUUCCUAGGAAACGAUAAAGAAUGAGUUUCGCUCCCGAGUGCAUUAGUAGGUACAUUGUGAUACAGUCGCCAUCAGAUAUAUCGAAGCGGCCAAGGGUAUUCACAAUAUCUGAACACGCGCUCUAGUGCCUUGACAAUAGAGGCGUGUUGAGAUAUUUGUGAGCGGCUUAGCUGCUCCGAUAUAUCUGAUGGCGACUGUACAAGCCUGCUCCGUUGUCUUACACACGAGCCGAUAUUGUGUGUAAUGGUAAUUCGGUUUCAUACGACGUUUUACAACACACCUGCGAGGAAAAAACAAACUUUGUGAUUUGUGUUUUGUACAAUAAAGAGUUUAUACUCGUAUAUACAUUACAUACUUUCAUAUUAAUCAAAUUUUAAUUGUUAAAACAGUUACAGUCUAACACUAACACUCCGCGAUUUCGUCGCGACGCAACAAGUAGCUACUUACAAGUACAUCCGUCCCACACCAAUUUUGAUGGCAAGCCACAGGCCGCGCGUGGCGCUUGCGCCACCUAGCGGUCAUAUCUGUCCUAACCAUAACAGACGCGUUUUGUGAGAGAGUGAGUGUGAUGAGCUUCUGUACCUAGUCUAGUACUUUUAGUCCGUAGUUUUGUAACUGAGCCCGAGCUAAUACUAUUGUCUAUUGUUAAGUAAAACCGCUCGUGCCACGUGCCACAACCACCUGCAUAAAAACCUGCGUAAUUCGGUUACUGAGUGCCGGCGAGUCGAACACUACAGAACCAGUCUAAAAUGUGUCAUGGAGAUGCGUAACAAAGGCGCGUUAUCGGAGAGCGCACCUACACUGGUUUUUUGAGCGUUGGACCAGCCCGCGCUCAGGUGCCAAAUAGAAUGAGUAUGACCCUUUUUUGCAGGUAAGUAGCACGUGCGGUUUUACUUAACAAUAGACAAUAGGAUUAGCCGCCGGGCUCUGUUACAAAACUACGCACUAUACUACUAGUUAUUCUGUGGCCGGAACCCGGCAGGCGGUCGGCCGGGCGCCGGCGCCCUCCAGUCCUUGUUUUAAAAUCUACUCGACCAAUUUAAGAAGCCUCCGUUUCCAUGCAUAUUAUUAGCAAUCAGAUACCUACCUUCUUAAGUCAGCCGGAUUAACAUUCAUUACCUAACAAGUGCUAUAAUAUAAUGAAAAUGCACUCGUGUUUAAUAUAUAGGAUUAUGAGCCCAAAAGCGGUUCAAUAACUUAAACGUUACAUUCUGAAGAAAGUGCAUGUGCUUAUCUGUAAUUAUUUUUAAGUUCUUUCGCUUUUACUGAACUGUGACGCGGUGGACAAAGUUAUGUUAAAGGGCAAAGUUUUAUACUUUUACGGUACCCAAACAAAACCAUGGUUGUGUCGUAUAGCAGCACAGAUGCCUGCUAAGUUUAAACCCAUGGGCUUGAUCCCAGCCUGUCCAGGAAUGAUCUAUUCCCAGUGGUGGUGAAUAACGCUCAUUUCGAGGCUUAAAUACUCGAACCCUUAAGGCUCUCAAGGCUUAUGGCCUUAAAGACGGCAAAUACGAUUUCUUACAUCUAUACGCGUAAAAUAAAUAAAUACAAUUCUCAAAUAUAGUCGAGUCUUCAAAACUUACGAGGCUUGAGGGCUCGAGUCUUUAUGACUAAAAAUAAGUGAUAUUCACAACACUGACUUUUCCUCUAUAUAGUGUAGCAUAAGGAUUAUAAACAAUAGCGCUUAUAUUGAAAUUUAUGUAAUAAAUAAUAAUACACAAUGUUUAAACUAUGAAUAUUAUACUAUAAUGAUUUUUAAUUUCAUUGUAAAUGAAUAUGAGGCCGUUUAGAAGAAAAAUUUGCAAUAAACAGUCGAUAAAUCCUGAAUUAUAAAGGAUGAUUUAUGAGACUAGAUAAGAGACGUGAUAUUAACUUAGUUGGUAUGUGUUAGAAAAUAAUGAUAUUUUCUUAAUCAUGAAAUUCGUUACCUAGUGAUAAUAAAAUUCGUAAAGAAGGAUGUAGAUACAUAUGCUACAAAAUUAUAUUCCUGUUCUCAUAAAUCAACCUGUAUGUCUGGUUUUUUAUUAUUUAUUAAUAAUUUGUAUGGUUUGUUACCUGAUGAAAGUAUAUACAUGUGUAAUUUGGUCAGAUUAUAAUCUCAGUUUGGUAAGUUUACAUAUUAGAUUACAUUUAACAGCCAUGGUAAUAGAUAAAAAAUUUCGAUCUUUGAUAAUGCCUAUUAAGGCAGGAAAAUACCUAUAAUUACAAAGACAGUUGCGUGCCUUAACACUGUUGUAGAUGAAAUUAUGUAGGUAUUACCUGUUACUGCAUUUUAAGAUUAGCUUAAGAAGCAUCAAUCGUAUCUUAUUAACCCUUCGAUCGCCCAAAGAUGUCAACUGACGCGCGAGCUGCGCGUGAGGCUACAACCUUAAUUUUAUAUAUCAACCUCGUACAUUCGGAGCAUGGUAUAAUAAUAUACUCCGCCUGGUACUCUCUUCCCGUCUUUUCUAGGUCACCUGACUGACACAAGCCUACGUCAUCAUGCGACAGCGCUAUAUGAUAAUAUGCGAUAGCGCUAUACAUAGCGGCCAUGUUAUUGUGACGUAGGCUUGUGUCACUCUGGGAAGAGAAGACCAUGUUUUAUUAGACUAUGAUUCGGAGAAGGUUCACAAUGACGCGCCGCGCACUAAGUAUAGGCGUAGCGCUUAAAGCCUCUUGAAUCAAAGGCAUAGAGGUACAAUAAUACUAGGUCUAUGGUCAAAGGAUAAAUUAAACGUACUUUUUAUCCCUGCCAAAGAUGGCGCUCCAUCAAUAUGCAUGCUUAUAACACCUUACUAUACUUUCAUUACUGUAUUAUGCUUGUGGCAUUGGCAGGGCAAGUUUAAUCUUACUUUUUGAAGUUAUACCUCGGGUAUGUAUAACUUAUAAAAUGAAGUACAUUUAAUUAUAAUACGUACAUGCAGCAAAAUACUGCAAAAAUAAUAAAUAUCGCCGUCUACAGCAAUUACAAGGCACGCGGGCCUGUACGCCCUUCGUAAUGUGAACAUACCUACGGUACUUAUAAUUUACCUAUGAGAUCAACGUUAUGACAAAUAAGUUUGAUGUUAUUUAAUUGGAUUGUUGUUAUAAUUUUUAUAGUUUGAAUAAAUAUUAGUUCUAAUA